RNAcentral lists this ribosomal RNA (489 nucleotides) under uncultured bacterium. RNAcentral describes it as "partial 16S ribosomal RNA". It matches the Rfam family "Bacterial small subunit ribosomal RNA", at positions 28 to 506 of the family's 1533-position model. The record is from RNAcentral.
GAUGAACGCUAGCUACAGGCUUAACACAUGCAAGUCGAGGGGAAACGAUGAGAGAGCUUGCUCUCUUAGGCGUCGACCGGCGCACGGGUGAGUAACGCGUAUCCAACCUACCCAUUACAGGGGGAUAACCUUGCGAAAGUAAGACUAAUACCCCAUGGCAUUUUAUGGUGGCAUCAUUAUAGGAUUAAAGAUUUAUUGGUAAUGGAUGGGGAUGCGUCUGAUUAGCUUGUUGGCGGGGUAACGGCCCACCAAGGCAACGAUCAGUAGGGGUUCUGAGAGGAAGGUCCCCCACAUUGGAACUGAGACACGGUCCAAACUCCUACGGGAGGCAGCAGUGAGGACUAUUGGUCAAUGGGCGAGAGCUUGAACCAGCCAAGUAGCGUGCAGGAUGACGGCCCUAUGGGUUGUAAACUGCUUUUAUAGGGGAAUAAAGUGAGCUACGUGUAGUUUAUUGCAUGUACCCUAGGAAUAAGGACCGGCUAAUUCCGU